GCCAAUUAAAGUGGUACGUGAGCUGGGUUCAGAACGUCGUGAGACAGUUUGGUCCCUAUCUGCCGUGGGCGUCGAAAUUUGAGAGGAGUUGACCCUAGUACGAGAGGACCGGGUUGAACAUACCUCUGGUGUACCUGUCGUGGCGCCAGCCGCGCAGCAGGGUAGCUAUGUAUGGACGGGAUAACCGCUGAAAGCAUCUAAGCGGGAAGCCUCCCUCAAGAUAAGAUUUCAUAGAGCCGUGGAAGACCACCACGUUGAUAGAUCGGAUGUAGAAGUGCGGUAACGCAUGGAGCUAACCGAUACUAAUUGCUCUUUUCGCACUUAA
RNAcentral lists this ribosomal RNA (325 nucleotides) under Sphingopyxis sp. Its description in RNAcentral is "partial 23S ribosomal RNA". It matches the Rfam family "Bacterial large subunit ribosomal RNA", at positions 2583 to 2925 of the family's 2925-position model. The record is from RNAcentral. Lineage: Bacteria; Pseudomonadati; Pseudomonadota; Alphaproteobacteria; Sphingomonadales; Sphingopyxidaceae.